CCCAUGGGGAGGAGGAGACCUAGAAACUUGCUGUGUCGAAGAACAUGCAAUGCGACCGCUGGCUUUCUCCCCUCAUCCUCUCGUCCUUACGCCGUGAAUAAAUCAUGGCGUUGCUGUACCAUUUCGCGUAGACUCCAGCCAGUGGCGUGGAACCCCCCGAAAGAGCCGGUAAAGGGACUACUUUGAGAAGUCUAGCCGCGCAUUCCCGGGAAUUACAGUAGGCUGAUAGUAUGUGGGCCGUAAACGGUUAAUGCCCAGACAGAUGUUGCAGGACUGAUAAAGUGAGGGAGGGAAAGCACUCGCAUGUGGUUCACAGCCAUCUGAGCUGAUAAGAGCGCACAGUCUCAGUUGUAACAACUCUGCGUGCGUCUCUGAUGAAUGUCCUGCCAGGUGAUGCAUAUUACAAAAAAAGCAACCGGAGUUGGCCGGAAUGGCGGUGAGGCCUUUCCCUCGGCAGUCGACGAUGUUGUUGCUGCAGGUACACAUGGCCGGACAAGAGCCUCCGCCAACGCUGCACGGCUGCAUCCCAGAGGACUCCUGGUGUCCUGAAGGGAAGAGCAGGAGGGAGAAAAAACAAGGUGAAUGAGGAGGUUCCGAUGACGGGAAAGUGGAGCUCCUACAGGUGUGCGGGCGCCGGGAGCAGGAUUAUUACAGGGAGGCUGACGACAAGCGAUGGCCUGGAAAAACAACUACAUGUGUUGCCGUGCUCAUUACUGGCAAAACUUUACCGUGCGGUGAUGCUUUCCAGCCGGACACUUGGACCGACAGCGAGUAAAUCACUAUGCCAGAACGCUGCAGAGGUUUAUUAUGUUUUUCAUCAAUGAAUAACACACUGGACCCCGUUUUCCUCCUCCUCGCCUCGACAACAACAGCAGCACGCCUUUCUUCUCCCUCUUUCCCUCUCUCUUCUUCUUCUCUUUCAGCACAGCGCCACCCUGCUCCCAAAUCCCCCGCAGGUGGCCUGGCCUGGUCACAACACAAACUAAAUACAUACACAACCGCAUAGUGCUAAACAUGAAAAAUACAAAAGAGAAAAAAAUGUAAUAAUAAAAUAAAUGUGCGUGCAUGUGUAUGUGUGUGCCAGCGUGCGAGUCCCUAAUGAUUUCUUCACUGGGAGUUCAACUUCUGGUCAUCCUCUCAAGACGAAAACGGGAG
Long non-coding RNA from Mugil cephalus (flathead mullet), 1155 nucleotides. RefSeq lists it as uncharacterized. The transcript is spliced from 3 exons. The record is from RefSeq and is a predicted model, not a curated record. NCBI's taxonomy places the organism in Eukaryota, Metazoa, Chordata, Actinopteri, Mugiliformes, Mugilidae.